RNAcentral lists this long non-coding RNA (426 nucleotides) under Homo sapiens (human). RNAcentral describes it as "long independently transcribed non-coding RNA 1691 (LINC01691)". The record is from RNAcentral. Lineage: Eukaryota; Metazoa; Chordata; Mammalia; Primates; Hominidae.
GCAGCAUUAAAUAGUAUUGUUACAUAUGUAAUAAAUCUAACAUUGUGCUACAUUAUUUUCUAAAGUAAAUUAAAAAUUAAAUAGCAAAAUCAGUUUUUAUAAACAAAGUUUUUGAACAUAAUAAGCCAACACAUAAAAAAUAAUAUACAUAGUUGUUGCAGGUUAAUCAUGUGAUUAAAAGUAAUUUUGACAAUGUUAUUCAUGAAUUAUCUUCACUGACUUCAUAAACAAAUUUUAUUGUAAAAGCAUAAUCACGCAUUCAUGAUUCACUGAGAAUCACACAGACAUUAUUAUUAUGACACAUGAAUCAGAAGAUAUGCAAGUCCAAAGAAUUCUCCGGUGCAUUCCAUAGGCCAGCAAAAACAUGACUUUGCCAGCUUCUCUUACAAUUUGUGAAUCAUACUUUUGAAUGCCAAUAAAUCUCAA